This 493-nucleotide unclassified non-coding RNA is filed under the name Hevea brasiliensis (rubber tree). The record is from RNAcentral. Lineage: Eukaryota; Viridiplantae; Streptophyta; Magnoliopsida; Malpighiales; Euphorbiaceae.
GGGAAACUCGGCGAUGCGAAUCGCCCACGAGAUCAACAUCAUCAACGACCCACACGCAAGAGAAAGGGUGGAGGUGAGCCAUGGGAAGGGAAAGGCAUUGAGGACCUUCUUGUUAUAGAUGUUGAAAACGACGUUCAGCGCCCACCACGUGGCGAAGUAGAUCCCGAUCUUCAACUUCUGUGCGGCAGCCGCCUUGCUAUCUGGAGUAGGGACAGGAUCGAUCCGAUCGGCAUCCAAGGCGGCAGUGCGGAGGCGGCGCGGCGGAGCCGCGGCGGUGCGGUGGGUGAGGUAGAGGGGUUUAAGGGUUUGGGGGGUGCGGAUGGCGGAGACUAGGGUGAGGGAGUUAAAGCGAGGGAUGGCGGAGCGGCGGAGGAGGUCGGGGGCGGCGGCAAUCGCCGGCGCCGCCGUAAGCUUUGACGACGAGAUCAUCGCUGGAUCUGGCGGGGAUUUGAAUGAUGGGGACGGUAUUUCCGAGUUGAAAUGUAGCUCGGAA